RNAcentral lists this long non-coding RNA (5197 nucleotides) under Homo sapiens (human). RNAcentral describes it as "HSALNT0079144". Lineage: Eukaryota; Metazoa; Chordata; Mammalia; Primates; Hominidae. The record is from RNAcentral.
GGCGGCGCGCGGGCACGCGGCAGGGGACAGAGGAUGGAUGGGUGAACCCGGAUCCCGGGAUUCUCCCGCGCCCGCUGCCCCUCUGCGGAGCCUCCCCGGAGUCCCACGCCCCCACCCCGGCCACGGAGAUCACCACGUCAGGAGAUAUGUAUGCGUGUGCAUGUGUGUGCGCGCGUGUUCACGCGCGUGUGCGAGGAUGGUGAAAAAGAGCUGAAUUACAUAGGACAAUAAGUUUUUGAGAAGCCAACUGGGAAACAGAAGAAGGAAGAUGUCACCAGACAAAAGAAGUCUAAUGGGAGGAAUCCGUGGAAUUUUCUUUUGCAUGCUUGUGUAACACUCGUGAAGCAGCAAAAGAAGAUCCACGUUAUUCCAGAAAUUAAUGCCAGCGAAGUCAAUCGUGUACAUCAAGUUAGCACAAUUUCUUUCUGAUGGUCCUGAAAAUAUAGGGGGACUUGGAGUUAACACCUGUGAUGCAGAAACUAAUCUGCCAUUCAUUUGAUGUGCCAUGUUGGUCAAAUAUGUUAAGCCCACACUUCCUGACUUGUUCUUCAUGAAAUGGGAAUAAUGCAUUCAUUUAUUUAUUGAGCAUCUACUAUGUGCUAGGUACUCUUCUGGGAUUGGAGAAAUAGUAGCAAACAAACUAAAUUACCACCACCAUGGAGUUUACAUCCAAGUAGAGAAAGCAUACAAAAGCUACAUCUUGUCAUAUGGCAAAAGUGCUAUGGGGAAAAUUAAAGCAGAGUAAGCGGGGUGAGGGGGAGAGUAGGAGAUGGUGUACUAUUUUUUUUGAGUAGUCAAGGGAGAAUUCUGAAUAGGUAACAUUUGAGGGAAAACUUGAACAAAAUGAGGGAGGAAGCUAUGUAGAUAUCAGAAGAGAGUACGUGUCAAGAAAAAGAGAACACAUGUAAAAAAACCUGAAAAAUUAAUAAUUUCUUUUCGUCUACAUUAUAGGGUUGCUGUGAGGAUCAAAUGAAAUAAUAUAUGUGAUCUGUAUGUACGUACGUGUGUGUGUGUGUGUGUGUGUGUGUGUGUGUGUAUUUAGAGACAGGGUGUCACUCUGUUGCUCAGGCUGGAGUGCAGUAUUAUAAUCUUAACACACUGCAGCUCCAAACUUCUGGACUCAAACGAUCCUUCCACCUCAGCCCUCCUAGUAGCUGGGACUACAGGUAUGCACCACCAUACCCACUUAAUUUUUUAAUUGUUUAUAGAGACAGGGUCUUGCUAUAUUGCCCAGGCUGGUCUUGAACUCCUGGCUUCAAGCCAUCCUCCCACCUCCUCCUCCCAAAGUGCUGGGAUUAUAGGCAUGAGCCACCAUGCCUGGCCUGAUCUAUAUAUUUUUAAGCAUUGAAUUCAUUUUGCUGCUUUUGUGGUUACUAUUUUUAUAGCUCAUUGUUGCAAAGUGAACUCUUUUAUGUCUCAUUAAAAGAGAGAAAUUCUCUGACAGAGAACUUAAAGAAUGUGUACCAACUGGCUAUCAUCUUAAGGUUCAGUAGUGAAAAUACACUUUAUCUGUACUUUCAGAGCACUUAUAAAUUACUGGAAGAUGUGUGUGUAAAAUAGAGCACAGUAUAAGAGAAAAUAACACAAAGCAAGUGUCAAGUUGAUGCAGCAGUCUAGUGAAUCUUCUCUGAGAUUUGAGAAUUCAGUGAUUCUUAUGACAUAAGAGAUAGAUUUCUCUAUUUAGGAAUUCUUCUUACAUCAGAUUUUCCUCUCCCUGUCUCCUUCUCUUUCCUUUAUUUCUUGCUUUCCUGCCUUUUACAUGCACAUUUUGUGAUGGUUUAGAAGAAGAUCACAAACAGUAAAUGGUGGUUGAGAAAGAGGAACUUGUAACAUUGGCAUGAAUAUAGCUAAGAACACAUUUCUUAAUGUUAUAUUCAAACACUAUUAGGUAAUUACAUGACAAGUUAAGUGACAGGCAACUUUUAUAAUUUUCUCAGAUAAACAGGGAUGGGGAAGUCAUGGUUCUUUGCUUCUGUUCCUCUAAUAUUGGGGAACAGCUGACUUGAGUAUGGAAACAUUCUUGCCACCUAUUUGUAUUUGUUUUUUGGUUUGUUUUUGGUUUUGAGGCAAAGUCUCCCUCUAUCACCCAGGCUGGAGUGCAGUGGCACGAUCUCGGCUCACUGCAACCUCUGCCUCUGGGGUUCAAGAGAUUCUCCUGCCUGAGCCUCCUGAGUAGCUGGGAUUACAGGCGUGCACCACCACGCCUGGCAAAUCUUUGUAUUUUUAGUAGAGACAGGGUUUCCCUAUGUAGGCCAGGCUGGUCUUGAACUCCUGGCCUCAGGUAAUCUGCCUGCCUCAUUAUGGGAUUACAGGGAUGAGCCACCGUACCCGGGCUGUAUUUGUUUUAAUAUACAAGUGGAAUAAAUAUUCAAAAUCCUUUGUGAAGUAAGGCAGGGUGUAUAGAAACAUAUAAACAACACACUUUGGAAACAGGAAAACAGAACUGAAAGAAUGUUUAUAAAGGUGCACAAUGAAAGAGCAAUUCCACAGAGGGAUUGUUUAGAUUAGUGAAAUACUCAUGCCUGGGGUAAGUGACAUAAUGCAUGUUUGUGUAUAUGACUAUUAUGUAUUUAAAAUAUCAUUGAAAAUUAUAAAUAUAUUCCCCAUCCUUGACACUAACCCAUACCAAGAUCUGAAAAUCAGAACCUCUUUUGUAAUGAUUUGUAGACAGUAAAUUCUACAUUCUUUCAUUGAUUCAUUUAUUUGUUACCUUAAGUUCAAGGCUUGCAAUGCUUUCUGAGCAUCUGCUGUAUAACUUUGGGGUCAUGGUUUUAUAGUGCCUGGGAAAAGAAACAGGGCUAGAGAUAUAUAGAGCACUGGGGUUUUAAUUGCUUUAGUUGGCAAAAAGAAAAGGAUUUCUGUCUGAGUUCUCCUAGGUCUCUUUUCUCAAGUUUACACCAAGCGCUACAUGCACUGACCUCCCAUCCCCUAUAAAUAAUUCACAAGAGAUUCAUGAUUUUUAAACACUGGGAUGCUUAAGGCACAUCUGGGGUGCUUGCUACAAAUGCAGUGACCCUGAUUCAGUAUGUGUGGGGUGCUGCCCAGAGAAUCUGUAUUUUAAAUAAGGACCCAGAUGCUUCUGAUGCAGGUGGUCUGUGGACCACACUGGGAGAAACACUGUUAAGACAAAUUUACUCAAAGGUAAAGAAGUCUUUAGAGAAACUAAAUGUUGAAGUGAGUGGCAAAUGGUUGCAAGGUGGUUCUGCUUGAGCAGGAGACCUAGAAUCCUGUGAAGUUGGUGGAGGCAGAGGAAAGAUUUUAGUAAAGAAUUUUUAUAACAUUUUAAUAAAGAAUUAUGAGCUGAUUUAGUUAGAAGGAACUAUGGCGGGUAUUAGAGAAAAGAACAUUGGUUGAUAAAGUUAGACGGGCCUUGAAGGCAAGGGGACGAUUUCUCCCAGGUAGAUAUGGGGCCCAGAGGAGGGACAUUACUAAGAAAUGGUUCUGGUUAGUAUAGUGACACACCAAAGUACUCUAAAACUAAUUAAUAGUUGUUUACAGUUGUGCCCAUGGAUUAGGAAUGUGGAUUGAGCACAUGGGGGUUAGCUAGUCUCUGCUAUAGGAUAUUUGAGACCUCAAUUGAGAAGACUCAAAGGCUAGGAGUGACUCAAAGGAUGGGGUUUGGAACCAUCAGCAAGCACCUUCAUUGAUAUUCCUGACACCUGGGCUGCACUGGUUUGAAAAUCAGGACUGACGACUGCAGUGUCCACACAUUGGGCUUUCUAUGUGGUGUGGCUUCCUCAAAAUAUGGUGGCCUUGGGGCAGUUGACUUUUUACAUGGUGGCUCAAAGCUCUAAGAGCAUGAGUGUUCUGGUGAACAACAUGGAAACUGCAUUAUCAUAAGACUUAUGGUCUAGUCUCAGAAGUCACACAGCCUCACUUCUGCAAUACUGUAUUGAUUGAAGCAGUCGCAAGCCCACCUAGAUUCAAGGAGAGGGAAAUUAAACACUUCCUGAUGGGAUAGUGGCAAUGUCACAAAGAGAAGAGCACAUGGUAUGAGGAAUAUUGUUGUGCCAUCUUUGGGAAAUAAAAUUUUUAUAGAAUUUAUAAAUUUAUAUAAAUAUAAAAUUAUAUAAUUUUAUAGAAUUUAUAGAUUAUAGAAGGAAUCUGGAGAGUUGAGUGAUGGGAAGAAUGGGAAAAAAUGGAUCAAUCAAUUGUGGAAAGUAUAUUCAAUGCAAUACUAUACAGCAGUGAAAAUGAGUUAACUACCACUACAUACAUGAAUGUGGAUGAAGCUUAGAAGAAAUACUGUGUGUUGUUAAAAGUUUCAAAAACGUUUCAUGCUACCAGUUUUAUAAACUUCAAAUUUGCUAAAAUAAGCAACACAAUUUUAUCAUUUAGGAAUACCUAUAUAUGAGGGGUUUUCAAAAAGUUUUUGGGGCUGGUUUACUCUUUCCAACUACACUUUAAGAUAAUCCCAGGGAGGAUGCUCCUUUAAACAGUUUUUAGCCUGACAUCUCUCUCUUAGGCUCCAGGAUGAUAUUAGACUCUUCUGUUCUGCUCCAUUAGGUCAACCCAACAUAUCUAAAAACCAAAUUCAAGAAAUUCCUUCAUUCUUCCAGUUCCUCAGGUUAGGCCUCUUCCCUCUUCAUAAUUUCAGUUCCUCAGGUUAGGCCUCUUCCCUCUUCAUAAUUUCUCCUGAAUGUCUGCAUCUAUACUUUCUGUUUUAUUCUCAUUGUCAUAGUCCAGAACAGAUCCAGGUUUAGAUCCAGGUUUAGACUCUCUUUCAGACAGUGGCACCAUGCUUGGCCAGCGGUCAUCUUUUGGUGUAUCAAGUUGGUGAAUGCUCAUCUGCUUGCUUUCAAGCUUCUAAGAUUUUGUUGACAUAUCUAAUGUGCUGUUGUCUGUGCUCCUAUUCUUUAAGCCUUAGGAGCUUUCUCCUCUGUGACCCUGUUAAUGUAAUUUUGUAGAGUUUUCUAAGCAGGCAGAGGUAAAUAUAUGCAUUCAACUUGCCAUCUUUAACAAAAAGUACCCAUAUACCCAUAUACUGUUUGAAAUAUUUUACAAUAUUAUUAAUGACUGCAUAGUAACUCCUGCUCUUCUUCUUCUUAUAAUUUUUAUUUUUAUCUUUUAGUUCCAUUUUCCACAAGCUUUUUGAAGUCUCCUUGUAUGUGGUAUGACCCUUAAGAAAAUGCAAGCCGAUUAAAUAAAGAAAACAAAGUUUGGGAUAUUGGUGAUCUCUGGGGGAUACGGAUGGGAA